This 1136-nucleotide long non-coding RNA is filed under the name Heterocephalus glaber (naked mole-rat). Its description in RNAcentral is "lncRNA (ENSHGLG00100040004.1)". The record is from RNAcentral. Lineage: Eukaryota; Metazoa; Chordata; Mammalia; Rodentia; Bathyergidae.
UUGCGCAGCGGGGAGGGCGCGCGGGGCGGGGCGGGGCGCCGGGCAGGCCCUAGCCACCGCCUCGGGGUUGGGGGUGGGGGGAGCGGGCGGGCAGCCGGAGCCCGCGGCCGCCUCGGAAAACCUGGCAGCGUGGCGCCGGGGAGGAGUCCAGGGCGGCGGCGCGGGGCGCGCGCUUGGCGAGGGCGCCCCCUCCAGGGUCGACUGCAGCCUGCCUGGCUGGGGUGAGCUCGGGCUGGCCUGGGCGCCCUAACAUCAGCCGCUCCUUCCGGGAGCUCGGGCUCCUGCCGGUGAGAAACACUGCGGAAAACAGGGUCGGCGGCCUUUCUGCAGGCACCAGGCACGCUGUCACAUGAGCCCAGACGGCACUGACUGCAGCUUCUGGGUGGCUUCUCCCAGCCCCACACAGGCAGAAGCACACAUGGGGUGAGCCUGCCCCUCCCAUCCAGCCCAGACUGCUGUGUGGCAAAGCGGGUCCCUGGACUACCUGGACCACUUACAUCUCCUCUUCAUUUCUGCGGUGGCUCUGAACCUCGUGUGGGAUAUGACUGGUCCCAGAUUUCCCUCUCCUGUGCUCACCCCUUUGAUUUAAUUUACUGUAAAGCACUGAGCAGCUUCUGCGCUGGGUGUGGGCAGGGAGCAUCCCCUCGCCCCCCUCACCGGCCUCCCUGGGGGGCCCUGGUGGCUUUCGGGGUGGCUUCCUGCAGGCCUACUUUGGAAGGUGGCCAGGCCUGUGCACACCUGGUCCCCUGCCUCACCAACAGACGACACCCGCAUGUGCACACGUGCCCUCAGUCUCCUCCUGGGACACAUCCCUGACAUCAUGGAGAAAACAAGCACAGGAUGGGACCCAGGCCCCCAGCAGGGCCCCAAGGUGGCCUGAGACCCAGGAAGAGGGGCCCAGCGCCCCCACUCGAGAGAGUCGCAGACAGAGCCCCCACGCUGCAUGCCAGCCAUCGGGAACCUGCCUGGCGGGACAAGGCCGCUCUCGCUGUGGGGUUUUCCUUUCCCUACUUUCGAAUGUUCUUUGUGUGUUAGGGACCUUCCCCUUCCACCUGAGUCACGGUUCCAAAUGUUUUCUCCCAGGUCAUUUGCCUUGCAGGCCUGCUUGUCUCUGUUCUUGUGAGGCUGUUUUUCAG